UUUUAGAAAUUAAUUUAAAGUCUAACCUGCCCACUGAAUAUUUUAAAUGGCCGCAGUAUUUUAACUGUGCAAAGGUAGCAUAAUCAUUAGUCUUUUAAUUGAAGGCUGGAAUGAAUGGUUGAAUGAAAUAUUAACUGUUUCAUAAAAAUUUAUAAUAGAAUUUUAUUUUUAAGUCAAAAAGCUAAAAUAUUAUUAAAAGACGAGAAGACCCUAUAAAUCUUUAUAUUUAAAUAAUUUUAAUUAUAUAGAUAAGUUUAAUUAUAAUUUAUUUCAAAUAUUUUAUUGGGGUGAUAUUAAAAUUUAAUAAACUUUUAAUUUAUAAUUAACAUAAAUUAAUGAAUUAUUGAUCCAUUUAUUAUGAUUAAAAAAUUAAGUUACUUUAGGGAUAACAGCGUAAUUUUUUUAGAGAGUUCAUAUUGAUAAAAA
RNAcentral lists this ribosomal RNA (426 nucleotides) under Megaselia sp. 22 SH-2017. RNAcentral's name for it is "partial 16S ribosomal RNA". The record is from RNAcentral. Lineage: Eukaryota; Metazoa; Arthropoda; Insecta; Diptera; Phoridae.